UCUUUUUGAUAAAUCAUACACCUCUAUGCGGUGAGCAGUAGGCAACGAUCUUAUGAUUGGCUGAGAAGUGAAG
Molecule: ribozyme, 73 nt
Filed under: unclassified sequences
Description: HDV ribozyme from F. prausnitzii
Rfam family: HDV ribozyme from F. prausnitzii
Source: RNAcentral